This 76-nucleotide transfer RNA is filed under the name Aurantimonas endophytica. RNAcentral's name for it is "tRNA-Arg". It matches the Rfam family "tRNA". From Rfam's summary of the family: Transfer RNA (tRNA) molecules are approximately 80 nucleotides in length. Their secondary structure includes four short double-helical elements and three loops (D, anti-codon, and T loops). Further hydrogen bonds mediate the characteristic L-shaped molecular structure. tRNAs have two regions of fundamental functional importance: the anti-codon, which is responsible for specific mRNA codon recognition, and the 3' end, to which the tRNAs corresponding amino acid is attached (by aminoacyl-tRNA synthetases). tRNAs cope with the degeneracy of the genetic code in two manners: having more than one tRNA (with a specific anti-codon) for a particular amino acid; and 'wobble' base-pairing, i.e. permitting non-standard base-pairing at the 3rd anti-codon position. The record is from RNAcentral. RNAcentral also lists the same sequence under 3 other names. Lineage: Bacteria; Pseudomonadati; Pseudomonadota; Alphaproteobacteria; Hyphomicrobiales; Aurantimonadaceae.
GGCCCCGUAGCUCAGAGGAUAGAGCACCGGCCUUCUAAGCCGAUGGUCGCAGGUUCGAAUCCUGCCGGGGUCACCA